UCCCUCAUAGCUCAGUUGGUAGAGAAUUUGUCUGCAAUGCAGAAGACCUGGGUUCGAUUCCUGAGUUGGGAA
This 72-nucleotide transfer RNA is filed under the name Capra hircus (goat). It matches the Rfam family "tRNA". From Rfam's summary of the family: Transfer RNA (tRNA) molecules are approximately 80 nucleotides in length. Their secondary structure includes four short double-helical elements and three loops (D, anti-codon, and T loops). Further hydrogen bonds mediate the characteristic L-shaped molecular structure. tRNAs have two regions of fundamental functional importance: the anti-codon, which is responsible for specific mRNA codon recognition, and the 3' end, to which the tRNAs corresponding amino acid is attached (by aminoacyl-tRNA synthetases). tRNAs cope with the degeneracy of the genetic code in two manners: having more than one tRNA (with a specific anti-codon) for a particular amino acid; and 'wobble' base-pairing, i.e. permitting non-standard base-pairing at the 3rd anti-codon position. The record is from Rfam by way of RNAcentral. RNAcentral also lists the same sequence under 1 other name. Lineage: Eukaryota; Metazoa; Chordata; Mammalia; Artiodactyla; Bovidae.